This 220-nucleotide ribosomal RNA is filed under the name Escherichia coli. Its description in RNAcentral is "partial 16S ribosomal RNA". It matches the Rfam family "Bacterial small subunit ribosomal RNA", at positions 1 to 217 of the family's 1533-position model. The record is from RNAcentral. Lineage: Bacteria; Pseudomonadati; Pseudomonadota; Gammaproteobacteria; Enterobacterales; Enterobacteriaceae.
AAAUUGAAGAGUUUGAUCAUGGCUCAGAUUGAACGCUGGCGGCAGGCCUAACACAUGCAAGUCGAACGGUAACAGGAAGAAGCUUGCUUCUUUGCUGACGAGUGGCGGACGGGUGAGUAAUGUCUGGGAAACUGCCUGAUGGAGAGGGAUAACUACUGGAAACGGUAGCUAAUACCGCAUAACGUCGCAAGACCAAAGAGGGGGACCUUCGGGCCUCUUG